GAGGACCCCAACCCCCGACCUACCUCUCCAACUCGCCCUCCCUCCCAGCACCGCCGUUCCUACGAUCAGCCGGCCACCGCAACCUCCCUCCCAGCUGGCUGCCAUGGCACCACCACCUCCUCCCCCGGCAGCCUUGUACAUCGGGAGGCGACCACGCGCCAGGCCUAGGUGGGUCUCGGCCUCCCUCCCCGCUUUGUCCAAGGCUAGGAUCUCCCCUCCCCGACCGAUCUGACGGAUCAAGGCGGUGGCGACGGUCGCACCGCUUCCCUGCAAGUCGAGUAAACCUGCCCCCUCCCCUGCAUCGACGACGCCUGCAGACCCACCCUCCGCUCACUCUCACACCGGGUUCUCCACGUGCAUGUCCUUCUCUGAGGCGACCCUCAUCUCUCUCUGCCUCCAUGAGGAGAACCGCCCUGGCUUGCCCCCUGACCGUCGAUUUCCAGAUCAAGGUCUCCGUAGUAGGAACAAGGUUUCUUGUCAUCGGAUCCAUGAAGAUUUGACGCCUUCCUUGCGCUGGUGCUGGUUCAUCGGCCAGAUCCCAUCAGAGAGGAGGAGGUUCAUGGCGGAGGGAUGCACGGAGGAGAGGGACGACCUUGCAGGCACCACGUCAUGCGACUGGUCCUUGUUACGCCAUGGCCAACGACACCGACGACAUGUGCAAGGCCACCAGCGCAAAAAGCGGCGCCCAAGGACUGACACCUCGCCACGAUAUUCGGUGCCCAGUCGCACAUCAAAGUCGGCAAAUUUGACAAUCCAGUCAAUGCACUGAUGGAUGGAUCAUGCAGGUUGCUCUGCAGGUUGGUCUAAAGACACUGGUAGAAUUGCACCUGCAAGCUCUGAACAUUCAUGUCAUCAGCUGUGCUUGGUCGAUGUGGACUAUUCUUUCCUCAACACAAGAAAAAUUCAAUUGUCUUCGUGGGAAAUUAAUUGCACAAUUAUUUCAGACAAGUAUGGGUGGAGUAUUAUCUUCUACAGAUCAGGUGGCAAUGGUACUCCCAACGAAUCAGCAGAAGAUUACACCAUGAGGAUGCCGCAUAAUCAACUGCAAAAUAUGCAUGCACACAGAAUUCAGCAAGCCAACCUACAAUAAUUCUCCAUGUUGCAAAGCUUGAGAUUGAGGAUGUCGGAUACAUUUUUGUCAUAGGAUGCAUUCUUGUCACAACAGCAGGAUGCCAGAAUUUUACACGGUACUCCUCCCGCUUGAUCACAGGAACAAGAAUUUUGGUAACAAUCCUGUCAAUGCGCUGAUGGAUAGAUCAUGCAGGUCCCGUUGAGGCCUCACGCCAAGCGGAAGAGUGGGACGAGGACACUUGGCAAGGAUGCGGUAGCUCAUGGUUAACCGUGCACAUUGUUGGCCAGGAGUGUGUUAAUUUUUUGGGCUUGAAAUUAACUACUUAACCAGGGACGUGAUGUAUUUACUAAUGUGGAUUUCUAUUGUUCAUUUGCAGCGGUAUUAGGCUGAAUGGGGAAUCUAUUGUGCAUCUAAUUUGUAGAACUGGGGGCAUAGCAAUUUUGGCUGAUCCGUAGACAAUGCAACAAUCAUUUAAUGCCACAAAAGAUAUGAAAGGUGAUGGUAUGCAUGCCAUUGAGGUCAUGUUUCUAGGCAAAUUACAGUUUGAUUGAUUUUAUUUCUAGGCAAAUUACAAAUGGAUUAGAGUUCUCUCGGAGCCGUAAUUAGAAGUUCUCGCCAAUGGUUUGAUUGCUUUUCAUUUAUCUUUAAGGCUAUGAGGUCUGAUUGUGCUUCCAGAUUGGAAUUGUUGGAAAGCUUAGGUUUCCUAAUCUAGCUAACAAACCAAGCAGUCUAUUUCACAGCAAGACAAUGGCAUAUCUAUAUGUACCUUGAGCGCUACAUUUUCUAGCAGCAAGAUAAUAGCAUAUCUAUAUGCACGUUGAGAAUUGCAUUUUCUACCAGAGAUUGUACUACUAUUACUACUAGACUGAUAUAAAGUCAGCGAGUUCAAAAUUUUCAUGUUUAGUUUCGAUCGAUGUUAUGGUUCUUCAUUGAGUUUUGUUCCAGGUAUUUUAUCUAGAUCCUUGAGAUGAUAUUCAUAUUAGCCUCCAUGGGGUUGAAUUCUGAAUCAUAAAGAAGCUAGGAGAUAUGUCUUCCAGGUAGUGGUGUUGAUGCUUAUGAUUUUCUACAAUAAACAUAUGAUGAUAUUGAGAUGACAUGGGUAAUCACCUGCUGCGACUAAAGGUUUAGUUCAUACUUAAGAUGAUAUUGUUCGGAUGAUUGCCCUUGUACUAUUCUUUUUAGUAGGUACUAAAAUAUCUUGUUGUACGGAAAUCUGAUUUCUACUAAACCUUUGUCAAGACGCUCAUUUCUCUUGUACUAAAAUCUGCAUUUUUUUACUGAUUACUGAAAUGUACCUUGUUACCGAAAUUUCAUAGGAAGGAGGUCAAUGGAGCAAAAGGCACAAGAAGGAAGACGCAUCACCACAGGGAUGACGUUGUCGGCAGCGCCUUUGGAAGGAUUCACUCUAGAGAAGUUACGGUAGUCGGCCAUCAUGCUGGGGAAGCAGGGAGGAUGCCGUUCAGAACGCCUGGGUCUAGAGGAGUGUGUCCAGGUGGAUAGGUGGUGGCCGAGGAUGGCCAUGAGCAGUUGGGUUGGGCAAAUGUCAACGCGAUGGCGUCGUUGCUCAGGGUACCAACUCCUUGUUUUGACCCAACGUUUCUCGGCUAGCUGUACAUGGUCGGGACUGUUUCGUGCAUCUAAGCGACGGCUCAUGCCAUCCACUUCCAAAGCAAUAAGCAAAAUAUUUCAAAAGCCCGUGACAGCGCACGUCCAUCUCUCAAAAGUGAUCACGUGCCGCGAAGCCUCCUCGUAGUGAUGGGAGUCAUGCGGAAGUCCACAUCCGAUCUUUUUCCUGCUUUGGUGUGAUUAGAUUUAGUCUAUCGUUAGAUCAGCAUGAGAGGUAUGUUCUUGCCUCAAGUAGCACCAAACAUUUUUUUCUGAAUAUCCACAAGGAAUGUUCUUCCAUGGUUCACUACAUGUUGAUAUUAUUUGGUCUCAAAAUUCUGUUACUUCACUGCCAACAGAAGUUCACUCCUCAGUCUAAAGCAGCUCACUACAUUAAAAAUCAAAAUAAGAAAUUCACUAUGUGAAAAAAGGACGCAAAAAAAUCCCGAAAAAAACCCGACAAAUGCCUGACCUGAAGUCCACUUGUAAUGUCUCACUUGGUAAUACCAAGAAAUUCAUUUCUUUUCAAGACAUUCACUUUGUUGGGGCCAAACGGUUUACAUUUUCUUGUCUUAAACUUCCGUGGGAAAUUUACUCUUUAUUGACUGGAAGUUUGAAUCGGCUGCACUGGACGUUUAAUUUCGCCGUGAGAAUUUAAAUUUUUCUUUCAAAGGGAGUCUUUGAGUAAAGCCAUACAUGGUAUUAUUAUAGGAUAAGUAAUUUAAGUGAGCACCUAGUGAUUGCAAGUAGAAAUUUGGGAUGGUCUUAGUAUUCAGUUCCCUGUCUCUGGUCCUAAUUUAGACUUUAAAUCAUUGCAAUGAUACAAAUAUGCUCUUCCUUUUGUUCCACGGAGUGAGAAUAUCUGACAACACUUGGAGCUUCCUUAGGAUGGAGAUUUGGAAGCAUUUAAAUUUUGUGAAGCAGGCUGGACAAACCACUUUAUCCUUGACCAUCAAACCAUGUUAAGUAUGAUUUUCUCAU
Triticum dicoccoides is the source of this 3658-nucleotide long non-coding RNA. RefSeq lists it as uncharacterized. The record is from RefSeq and is a predicted model, not a curated record. The transcript is spliced from 6 exons. NCBI's taxonomy places the organism in Eukaryota, Viridiplantae, Streptophyta, Magnoliopsida, Poales, Poaceae.